RNAcentral lists this long non-coding RNA (139 nucleotides) under Vombatus ursinus (common wombat). RNAcentral describes it as "lncRNA (ENSVURG00010018514.1)". The record is from RNAcentral. Lineage: Eukaryota; Metazoa; Chordata; Mammalia; Diprotodontia; Vombatidae.
CUACUGAGGACUCGCCCCCAUGAUGAAGCUCUGUCUGCCUGCCUUGUUUCUGUUGGCUGCGCUAUAUGUGAAUUUUGAAUUUCCCCCAUUCCCUUCCCAAGGAUGUCUGCACCCUCACUUCUGCCCCUCUCCUAUGGCC